This 367-nucleotide transfer-messenger RNA is filed under the name Bacteroidota (CFB group bacteria). RNAcentral describes it as "UBA10438 sp018883125 Standard tmRNA". It matches the Rfam family "transfer-messenger RNA". Rfam says of the family: Bacterial tmRNA, also known as 10Sa RNA or SsrA, is named for its dual tRNA and mRNA-like properties. Its role is to liberate the mRNA from a stalled ribosome. The record is from RNAcentral. RNAcentral also lists the same sequence under 1 other name. Lineage: Bacteria; Pseudomonadati.
GGGGAUGUAACGGUCUCGACGGGGUGAAGCGUUUACGAAGAUGCGUGUCGAGCUACGCUGGUGGAGCUCGUUAAUACAACCGGCGAACAACAACUGGCGAUAACUUCGGUUAUCGCAUGGCCGCCUAAGCUUAGGCCGCUAUGCCAUCGAACGGAUGGGUGCCUGUUCCCCUCCGCCUCGGUGUUGCCCUCAAACAGGCUGGCGUGAAGUCGUGCACCAGGACCUAACGCGAGAAACCACUGAUGCUGGCUGUAGCGGACCUGUCGAUCGGUUACCGAAACAGUAAGACACCGUAGAUCGAAGACACACGUGGUAGGCUUCGAUUCGUUCACUUCGGACCCGGGUUCGACUCCCGGCAUCUCCACAA